Molecule: non-coding RNA, 1719 nt
Organism: Castor canadensis (American beaver)
Lineage: Eukaryota; Metazoa; Chordata; Mammalia; Rodentia; Castoridae
Source: RefSeq, a predicted model, not a curated record
UUGGAAGGAGUCGUCCUAGGCCGGGGUCUGGGCCCAACUGACACCCAAGUGUGGCUGGCAGAUGGCAGCACCGGACCUGCGGGCGGAGCUGGACUCGCUAUUUCUGCAGCUUCUCGGGGACCUGGAGGAGCUGGAGGCGAAACGGGCGGCACUGAACGCCCGAGUGGAGGAGGGAUGGCUCUCGCUCGCCAAGGCCCGCUACGCCAUGGGUGCCAAGUCGGUAGGGCCCCUGCAGUAUGCCUCCCACAUGGAGCCCCAGGUCUGCGUGCGCGCCAGCGAGGCCCAGGACGGAAUCCAGACGUUCAGGGUUGUCAGAGCUGAUGCCCAGACCCCAGAGGAGGUGGGGCCCCGCGAGGCAGCUCUACGCAGGCGUAAAGGCCCCAUGAAGACCCCAGAGCCAGAGUCCUCUGCAGUCCCACAGGACCCCCUGCACUGGUUUGGAAUCCUGGUUCCUCAUAGUCUACGGCAGGCCCAAGCCAGCUUCCGAGAUGGUGAGCGAACUCUGCCAGUUGACCAUGUAACCUUGGGCUAAAUUCCAGCCCUCCACCUGUGAAGAGCACUUAAGCACUUACACCACAUUAGGGUUUUGCAAGUUUUCUCCAUUUAACCUUUUGUUGCAUACCUUGUUUUUUUCCAAAAGCAUAUACUGGCUUUUGACAGCAUUCUACCUUCAUGCUAGCUGUCAGGGAUACAGCAGAAAACAUACAUUCCCUUCGUGGAAUGUUUAUUUUCUGGAGAAAACGGACUGGAAGGCAGAGGGAGGAAUUGGAUGCCGGGAGCAGUUAGGUGUGAGAUGCAAGUAGAAGAAGUGGAGGUGAGGUAAACAGUGGGAACUUGCAUAUGUUUUGGAAGUGGAAGCCCUAGCAUUUGCUAACAGCUUGAAUGCAGGGUUAAGGGAAGAAGGAGUCCAGGGAAGCCCAUGUGUCCAUGGAACUCCAUCUUGGGAGGAUGGAGCUGCCCUCACUUGGAAUGGACAGGCUGCAGGGGAGCAGCUAAGGAGAAGUUGGAAGGAUUAAAGCUGAGAUGAGACCAGCAGAGGUCCUGUGGGAAUGGACAGGAGGUGCUGGAGAGGAGACUGAGGAACAGCACUCACAGGUUGGGGGUGUUCCAGAAACCAGGGAAGAAAGUGUUUCCUAUAGGGAGUAAUGAGAUACGUGAUUAGUCCAGCUGUGGCGUGGGAGGCUGAAGACUGAGGACUGUGUGAUGUGGAGGAAUGGAUGGCAGAGUAUUGGAAAAAGUCACCUAGAGAUGGAUCCAGAAUGUGGAUCACUCUUAGGAGCAAAGGUAAAAGGUAGAGGGGGAGCAGGUAAAAACAGUAAAAGUGAAAAGGAGGGUAAUGAUGGAAGGAGGAAGGAAAUGAGGCCAUGAGAUGGUGUUAUGAUCUAUGAUCCCUCAUGGGUGAUAAAGGUAGUCAAGGAAAUCUGAGGAGGCAAAGACCUGAAGAAGGUGUGGGUGCAGUCAAUGCAUGGCCAUCCCUGGAACAUUUUAGGAAGAGUAUGGAGGUCAGAGAGGUCUAGCGCCCCUGGAAACUUCUUAAGGGGUCCAUGGCCUCCUGGGUGAUGUGUCACAACAUAAUACCAUGGUGACAUUCUCUGUCUUUGCCCCAGGCCUGCAGCUGGCAGCAGAUAUAGCCAGCCUCCAGACCCGCAUUGACCAGGGUCGAAGCCAGCUCCGGGGACUCCAGGAAAAACUUAAGCGGCUUGAGCAUGGGGCUGUGUG